CCCUUAGAUGUUCUGGGCCGCACGCGCGCUACACUGAUGCAUUCAACGAGUCCAACCUUGACCGAGAGGUCCGGGUAAUCUUUGAAACUGCAUCGUGAUGGGGCUAGAUUAUUGCAAUUAUUAAUCUUCAACGAGGAAUGCCUAGUAAGCGUGAUUCAUCAAAUCGCGUUGAUUACGUCCCUGCCCUUUGUACACACCGCCCGUCGCUCCUACCGAUUGAGUGUGUUGGUGAGGAGUUUGGAUUGGCCUCGGAAGGUGGUUCGCCACCGUCCGUAGCUGAGAAGUUCUCCAAACCGCCCCACUUAGAGGAAGGAGAAGCCGUAACA
RNAcentral lists this ribosomal RNA (326 nucleotides) under uncultured eukaryote. RNAcentral's name for it is "partial 18S ribosomal RNA". It matches the Rfam family "Eukaryotic small subunit ribosomal RNA", at positions 1470 to 1796 of the family's 1831-position model. The record is from RNAcentral.